Molecule: transfer RNA, 71 nt
Filed under: Zenaida macroura (mourning dove)
Lineage: Eukaryota; Metazoa; Chordata; Aves; Columbiformes; Columbidae
Also listed under: 2 other names
Description: tRNA-Trp
Rfam family: tRNA
About the family: Transfer RNA (tRNA) molecules are approximately 80 nucleotides in length. Their secondary structure includes four short double-helical elements and three loops (D, anti-codon, and T loops).
Source: RNAcentral
AGAAACUUAGGAUCGACCUAAACCAAAGGCCUUCAAAGCCUUAAACAAGAGUUAAACUCUCUUAGUUUCUG